GGCCAAAUGGUCUAGUGGUAUGAUUCUUGCUUUGGGUUACCAACUCAACUGCAAGAGGUCCCGUGUUCAAUCCACGGUUUGGCCC
Molecule: transfer RNA, 85 nt
Filed under: Trichoderma virens Gv29-8
Lineage: Eukaryota; Fungi; Ascomycota; Sordariomycetes; Hypocreales; Hypocreaceae
Also listed under: 4 other names
Description: tRNA-Pro for anticodon UGG
Source: RNAcentral